RNAcentral lists this ribosomal RNA (253 nucleotides) under uncultured bacterium. Its description in RNAcentral is "partial 16S ribosomal RNA". It matches the Rfam family "Bacterial small subunit ribosomal RNA", at positions 524 to 776 of the family's 1533-position model. The record is from RNAcentral.
GACGUAGGGCGCGAGCGUUGUCCGGAUUUAUUGGGCGUAAAGAGCUCGUAGGCGGUUUGUCGCGUCUGGUGUGAAAAUCCAGGGCUUAACCCUGGACCUGCAUCGGGUACGGGCAGACUAGAGUGUGGUAGGGGAGAUCGGAAUUCCUGGUGUAGCGGUGAAAUGCGCAGAUAUCAGGAGGAACACCGGUGGCGAAGGCGGAUCUCUGGGCCGUAACUGACGCUGAGGAGCGAAAGCAUGGGGAGCGAACAGG